RNAcentral lists this ribosomal RNA (253 nucleotides) under uncultured bacterium. RNAcentral's name for it is "partial 16S ribosomal RNA". It matches the Rfam family "Bacterial small subunit ribosomal RNA", at positions 524 to 776 of the family's 1533-position model. The record is from RNAcentral.
UACGUAGGUGGCAAGCGUUGUCCGGAUUUACUGGGCGUAAAGAGCGCGCAGGCGGUCGUCCAAGUCGCGUGUGAAAGCCCCCGGCUCAACUGGGGAGGGUCACGCGAUACUGGUCGGCUCGAAGGCAGGAGAGGGUAGUGGAAUUCCCGGUGUAGUGGUGAAAUGCGCAGAUAUCAGGAGGAACACCGGUGGCGAAGGCGGGUCUCUGGGCAACAACUGACGCUGAGGAGCGAAAGCGUGGGGAGCGAACAGG